Pezoporus occidentalis (night parrot) is the source of this 2400-nucleotide long non-coding RNA. RefSeq lists it as uncharacterized. The transcript has 9 exons. The record is from RefSeq and is a predicted model, not a curated record. NCBI's taxonomy places the organism in Eukaryota, Metazoa, Chordata, Aves, Psittaciformes, Psittacidae.
AUGGGAUGGGUGUGAACCUGACACUGAGAAAGCAUUAAAUAGGAAUGGGGAUCUCUUCAAAUACAAACCAUCUGGAGAUCAGCUGACUCUUCCUCAACAUGGGAGUUCCUGCUUUUUUUUGGAUAGUGCCUUAUCAAGGAGUCUCCUGGUCAAAGCAGUGGAAGGUUGUGAAAGGACAAGAGAUUGGUAAUUAACAGCAUAUUGGCUUUGGAGCUGCUGUGAGGAGAACAAUGGAUGGCAGUUAAUGGAAAACACUGCAGUUACAAUUCAGCUUAGAAGUCCUGAGCCAGGGUCACCUUAAACUUGACGGACUUUUACAGCCUGAUCAGCAGGAGGACCAUGUACAGAGAAAGAUGUCUCUGGGGAUGAAGUUUUCAGUGACUUUGUAAAUCAGCACUGUUUGAAAUGAAAGCUUCAAGAGGACAUGCAGGAAAACUUGGCCACCCCCUCAACUCAACACAGUUGCUGUAGUCAAUGAACAAUGACAAUGAAAAUAAACCAAAUCCCUCCAGAGAUCCAGGUCCUUUGACAAUGAAGAAACCAAACCUCUCCAGAGAUCCAGAUUAUUUUUGGAGACAGAAAAAAACUUCCCUGGCUAUUUUUCUUAUGGCCUGUUAAAACACAAAGAUGUCUUCAAGAACUACUAAUGCAGAAACCGUAAGAAGUGAGCUGAACCAAGUCUUACUGAAUUCAUUCUGCAUGCAAGUAUGAGUAACAGCCUGACCAUCAGAACACACGGAAAUGCCAACUGAGAAUGCCACACUUUCAUAUGGAGGAGGCUUCAGAUUUUUUUGAUUAUGCUUACGUAUUUUCCUGGUGCGAUUCAUCCAUGCUUGAUAUUGAAUUCUGACCGCAAUACGAUGAAAUCUGUAUUAUUAACGCAGCAUUAUAGCAGACAUUCAGCUGAUACUGCAGAUGGCAACAAUCAGAGAUUUUUUACAAGGCACAGCAAGAUAAGAAUGUUUACAAAAUCAAAACUACCAAUGCAUAGAAUAACCUCAGAAAACAGAAGUUACCUGUAUCUAUGUGUAACUACCUCCUUUUUCUGAGAUAGGCAGACCUUCUAGUACAAAUUAAGGAAUGUGAGUUAACAGUAUACAGUCAUGCGUUUGUCUGCAAUUCCACGGGUGCACUGGAAUUGUCUGUAUUUUAUCUGUAUUUUUUGUAUUUGUAUUUGUAUUCCAGAUAAAAAAUAUUUAUCUGGAAGAGACAGAUGCAAGAGAUCUCCCAUUGCUUUUAUUUUUCUACAUUAUUCCCACAGGUAAUGGGCCCCUCAGUUUUCAACCAAAGUGACAUUUAGGAUUAAUAUCUAUUUUUCUUGAGGGCAUAGUAGUUAGCAAAUACUAUUUAUUUAAUACUAAAGAAGUAUUUAAAUACUAAAGAAGAAGAUCAAUAACUUCUGUAAACACGAUAAUUAUUACAUUUCCCCUCCCCCAUACAGACAUGAAGAUUCUCAUGGCUAGGAAACUGGUGCUUGUAUGCUUUUAUAUGGGUAUGGCUGUUUGUACCCAACAAACCACGAUGCUCUGAUAGGACAAAUGUAUGAAAAAACCUGAAAGCCUUACACACAGAGGAUGAACACAUUCUUUUUUGUAUGUAGGUAACAACUAUAUCCUUUGCCUUUGAAAUGCCAAAGGGUUUGGUUUGACUAUUACAAAAAAUGUGCAUUCUUUUUAGUUUUGUACUUCUCCAGCUGAAUUCCAAACACAAGAUCUUCACUUAGACCUGACUUAGACCUUGACUUCUUUUCAACAACAAGGUAUUUGACAAAAUUCAUGUGACAGAGAAUUAUUCCUUCAAGCUUGUUCUCUUUGGUAAAGCCUUCAUGUUACAUUUGAACACUUGAUAGAUUUCCAGCUAUAUUGUGCCACCCAGUGUAAGAGAUGGGAAAUUGCACAACUUUGCUAACCAUACAUGAGUUUGGCAUUGGUGUCCAGCAAAUGACAUUUGUGCAUUUUGAAGUUUUGAGUUUAUCAUCAACUGAAGCGUAUUUAGAAAAGCAUUAAAAGUAAUUAAUAUGAGACUUAAUUAUUCCUAAAACAUUAAUGUGCUGGAAAACAUUCAAACUUUUGACUUAAUAAGUCAUGGUUGCCCUUUGUAGAAUCACGGAAUCCCAGACUGGUUUGGGUUGGAAGGGACUUUAAAGCUCAUCCAGUUCCAAACCCCUGCCACAGGAAGGGAUACCUUCCACUAUAUCAGGUUGCUCCAAGCCCCGUCCAACCAGGCCUUGAAUACUGCCAGGGAUGGGGCAUCUACUGGGUAAUAAAAUGAUCCUCUACAGCAAAUUUAAACUCAUUUUCUAUUUAUCUAAAGCAGAAUAGAACAGUAAUGAUUCAAAAUCCAUGCUCUGCAAGCUUAAGUUUCCUGAUAAAUCAUGGGGUGUUCAGGCAUCAAACAAAU